This 165-nucleotide ribosomal RNA is filed under the name uncultured bacterium. RNAcentral describes it as "partial 16S rRNA". It matches the Rfam family "Bacterial small subunit ribosomal RNA", at positions 355 to 511 of the family's 1533-position model. The record is from RNAcentral.
UAGGGAAUCUUCGGCAAUGGGGGCAACCCUGACCGAGCAACGCCGCGUGAGUGAAGAAGGUUUUCGGAUCGUAAAGCUCUGUUGUAAGAGAAGAACGUGUGUGAGAGUGGAAAGUUCACACAGUGACGGUAACUUACCAGAAAGGGACGGCUAACUACGUUCCAG